UACGAAGGGUGCAAGCGUUACUCGGAAUUACUGGGCGUAAAGCGUGCGUAGGUGGUUUGUUAAGUCUGUUGUGAAAGCCCCGGGCUCAACCUGGGAAUGGCAAUGGAUACUGGCAGGCUAGAGUGCGGGUAGAGGGUAGUGGAAUUCCCGGUGUAGCUGGUGAAAUGCGUAGAGAUCGGAAGGAACACCAGUGGCGAAGGCGGCUACCUGGACCAGCACUGACACUGAGGCACGAAAGCGUGGGGAGCAAACAGG
This 255-nucleotide ribosomal RNA is filed under the name uncultured bacterium. Its description in RNAcentral is "partial 16S ribosomal RNA". It matches the Rfam family "Bacterial small subunit ribosomal RNA", at positions 524 to 776 of the family's 1533-position model. The record is from RNAcentral.